AACGAACGCUGGCGGCAGGCUUAACACAUGCAAGUCGAGCGCCCCGCAAGGGGAGCGGCCGACGGGUGAGUAACGCGUGGGAACGUACCUUUUGGUUCGGAACAACUCCGGGAAACUGGAGCUAAUACCGGAUAAGCCCUAACGGGGAAAGAUUUAUCGCCGAAAGCUCGGCCCGCGUCUGAUUAGCUAGUUGGUGAGGUAACGGCUCACCAAGGCGACGAUCAGUAGCUGGUCUGAGAGGAUGAUCAGCCACACUGGGACUGAGACACGGCCCAGACUCCUACGGGAGGCAGCAGUGGGGAAUAUUGGACAAUGGGCGCAGGCCUGAUCCAGCCAUGCCGCGUGAGUGAUGAAGGCCUUAGGGUUGUAAAGCUCUUUUGUCCGGGAAGAUAAUGACUGUACCGGAAGAAUAAGCCCCGGCUAACUUCGUG
This 431-nucleotide ribosomal RNA is filed under the name uncultured bacterium. RNAcentral's name for it is "partial 16S ribosomal RNA". It matches the Rfam family "Bacterial small subunit ribosomal RNA", at positions 29 to 507 of the family's 1533-position model. The record is from RNAcentral.